Mercurialis annua (annual mercury) is the source of this 2006-nucleotide long non-coding RNA. RefSeq lists it as uncharacterized. The record is from RefSeq and is a predicted model, not a curated record. The transcript has 5 exons. Lineage: Eukaryota; Viridiplantae; Streptophyta; Magnoliopsida; Malpighiales; Euphorbiaceae.
UUUAGGAAAAAUCCCAUGAGUUUAGUAGCACUGAAAAAUUAAAAGAAAAAAAGAAUGGAGGGAAAUUAACUGAUCUAAGAACACACACACAGCCACUGUUUCUUUAAAAAUUCAAACAUUUUCAGUUCAUUCUCUUAUUCUCAAAAUCCAUUUUCAUCAAAUAAUAAUAGCUUCAUCAUCUAACUAAUUGCAGGUUUCAUCACACCAUUACUGCUAACUGGUGUCCCAGAAAUACGCCGGUGUGGAGCUUUUCCUUAUGAUCUUGAGCAAUAUGACCUUUCCUUGGCAGAGUCUGCUGCUUUCAACAGCUGAAGGGAUAUCAAGGUCUCCCUUCUCCUGACAAUUAAGAAGGACAUCUACAAAAUCUUCUUCAUCGCACCAUCCCGCUUAUCCAGUGAAGCAAUUUGAUGGAAGGAUACACAUCAGCAAGAGUAAAACCUCCAGCUGCUUCUAUUAGUUGCUUUGCAAUUGGUAUGAAAAUUUCUUCUCCCUUCCAUAUCUUGCCAAACGCUGCUCUUGAAAUAAUGCUAUACGUCACAGCAUUGAACAUCUUGCUAAAGUUGACUGGCGAUCCUGCUGCACCUGAAGACAAGGAUCUCAUAAGUUUUGACACUUCUUCUUCCCUUAUUGAUCUGAACGAGUGCACGCGUUUUGCAGUCAGUAGCUCGAGCGUGCAAAUUUUUCGCAUCUGUCUCCAAUAAUCUCCGUAUGGUGCAAAAGCUAUGUCUGAACAGUUAUAAGUUCCAAUACUUGCAGAAAGGAGAAAAGGCCUUUGAGCGAACGUGAUAUCGUGCGUUUUCAUCACUUCUUUAGCCAUUUCAGGCGAAGAAACGACGAUAUUAUUAAGCUCACCAAGCUUAAGAUGCAUAAGAGGUCCGUACUUGUUGGCCAAGUCUCUUAGUUGGCGAUGUGGAAGAGAGCCAGCUAAAUGGUGCAUGCUUCCUAUUAUAGGUAACUUCCAUGGACCUGGUGGAAGAUUUGGAAUUGAGUUGCUGAUUUUUGAUUUCUUCCAUAUUCUCAGUAACAUAAAGAUGAAAAGGAAGAAGGUGGAAAGGAUUGCAAAGAAAGAGAAUUGGUGUUCCAUAGCGAAGACAGUGAUUCUCAAGAAAAUAAGACUCAACUUGUUGAUUGAUAUAUUGAGGUUUUACUCGGCAAGUUGAGGAAUGUAUGGCGUAGCAAUUGAGUAAAGAUCAUUUUUCCUCUUCACUACAACGCCAAAAUCUUCAGCCAUGUCAAAAGUUUCCGGUUUCACUCCAUCAGGUAACUUCCAGUCAAAAUGGUAAAGCAAUUGUGCAAAUGGAAACUCAACAUUGCUCAUACCAAACAAUAUCCCUGGACAAAUCCUUCUUCCAGCACCAAAUGGAAGAAAUUCAUAAUCAGUUCCCUUAAUAUCAAUUGGAGAAUCUUGAAAUCUUUCUGGAUAGAAUUUCUCAGCUUCUUUCCAGUAAUUUGGAUCUCUUCCGAUUGCCCACGCAUUCACAAUUAUUUUUGAAUUAACCGGAAUGUCGUAAUCGUUAAUCACACAACUCUCUCUACAUUCUCUUGGAAGUACUAAUGGAAGAGGAGGGUGUAAUCUUAGAGUUUCUUUGAUUACUAAUUUCAAGUAGUUGAGUUCAUGAAUGCGUGAUUCGUCUACAUUUCCUUCUUUCCUGAAGACUUUUCUUACCUCUUGUUGUGCCUUUUCCAUCACUCUUGGAUCUUUCAAAAGCUCAGACAUUAUCCAUUCUACUGUUGUUGAUGAUGUCUCGCUACCGCCGGAAAAAACAUCCUGACAUAAAUAGCAGAUAAAAUAUGCAUACAUAAGACUUAUAUCUAUAAGGUAUGAUCUAAGAGAAUGAAUGCAGAUUUAAUGUCUUAGUGGUACCAAACUUUUGUCGUAUGUUUCAGUUUGAUACUAAAAUUAUAACUCGUAUCAAAUUGGUACCAAAUUUUUAUUACAAAUGAUGGUAAAUAGUGACCUUCCUAUUUGAUAAUAUGGUGACUGAGUGAAGCAUAUAUUUAAACUA